RNAcentral lists this ribosomal RNA (421 nucleotides) under uncultured eukaryote. RNAcentral describes it as "SSU rRNA". It matches the Rfam family "Eukaryotic small subunit ribosomal RNA", at positions 592 to 1018 of the family's 1831-position model. The record is from RNAcentral.
CAAUAGCGUAUAUUAAAGUUGUUGCGGUUAAAAAGCUCGUAGUUGGAUUUCUGUCUGGGGCGACCGGUCCACUUUCUGAGUGAGUAUCUGGUCCGCUUUGGGCAUCCUUCUGGGGAACUUGUUAGACUUCAUCGUCUGGCUUGGUACCCAGAACUUUUACUUUGAGGAAAUUAGAGUGUUCACUGCAGGCAAUCGCCUUGAAUACAUUAGCAUGGAAUAAUAAGAUAGGACCUGAGUUCUAUUUUGUCGGUUUCUAGAGCUUAGGUAAUGAUUAACAGGGAUAGUUGGGGGCAUUCGUAUUUAACUGUCAGAGGUGAAAUUCUUGGAUUUGUUAAAGACGAACUACUGCGAAAGCAUUUGCCAAGGAUGUUUUCAUUGAUCAAGAACGAAAGUUAGGGGAUCGAAGACGAUUAGAUACCAU